UGUAGCGAGGUGUUUUGCACACUGUGUUUUGGUCACAGAGGGGGAGUUGGUUCCAGCUACUU
Molecule: transfer RNA, 62 nt
Filed under: Cichlidogyrus mbirizei
Lineage: Eukaryota; Metazoa; Platyhelminthes; Monogenea; Dactylogyridea; Ancyrocephalidae
Description: tRNA-Gln
Source: RNAcentral